Camelus dromedarius (Arabian camel) is the source of this 2368-nucleotide long non-coding RNA. RefSeq lists it as uncharacterized. NCBI's taxonomy places the organism in Eukaryota, Metazoa, Chordata, Mammalia, Artiodactyla, Camelidae. The record is from RefSeq and is a predicted model, not a curated record. The transcript is spliced from 3 exons.
CCUUUUAUACUUAGAUUUUUUAAAACUCUUAAAAAUAAAUUAGUAAGAGUUAUUUCCCCUCCCCCAGAUACUUGAGAAGUUUCUCUUAUUUGGUCUCAGAUUUAUGACAUCUUCCUAACUUUAAAAAACUGAGUAUCUCUGCAUCUAUGGGGAAAUGAGACCAAAAGGAGUGUCUUGUUUACCUUGAGAUCACAUGGUGAUGCAAACAGAAUCAGAUAUCUUACUAGUCCCUGAAAAUGGAGGUGUCUGACCACUAAAAGAUUAGUCUGCAACACCAGUCUGUUUAGAGAAAGGUUAGAGAUAACAAAAUACUAUAAAACCGUAAGAUAUAGGAAAUUAUAAAAAUUAUUUGAAUGGAGGGAGAGUGGAAAUUAACUUACAUUUUGUCCUUGCCUCUUUAGAACAUGAUUUCAAUUCAGUGCUACCAACAGCUGGAGGCAGUGUUUCUUUAAGUGUUAGUCUCUCUACCUCUGCCUUAGAAUCACGUGGAGUCCAGAGGAACACCCAAAUGAGUCAGACUGUCUCUGUUCUCAAAAAGCAUAUGGUUAGAGAAUAGACAUGGUAUGCACAAAGAGGGAGAGAUUCAUUCCUUACAGGACUGAGGAGACAUCUUUAGGACCUAGCAUUUGAGGCAAGCUUUGAAGGGACUGGGGAAGGAGGGCUGGUGUCAGUCAUAGUCAGGAAUAUUUAGAAAAAUGUAUUUGACCUCUGCUGAACCUACACCUGAGGUGGCGCCUAAGGUUCUCUGUACACACCUUGUAGUGAAGUGCUAGCUGCCAGGUUAGACCUACUUGAAUUCAGAACCUGGCUGUACCACUGCUACUAGCUUUGUGACCUAAGACAAGGUGCUUUAUCAUUUCCUCAUUUGCAACCAGGCCAAAAUCAUGCCUCACUCUGUUGGCUCGUUGUGAAGGAUAAAUGAAAAUGCGUGCAGCUCUGCCUGUUCAUAGCCAUGAUGGGAAAAGAAUUCAAAUGAAGUCUGUUACAGUGUGAUUUGUCCCACUGAAGAAGUUGAGCAGGUCACGAUGGUUGUCUUUCCUGAAAUUAAAAAAAAAAAAAAAAGGAAUCGGGAAGCUCUGGAUGAGUAAUAAAACUGCCAUCUGGUCUUAUAUCUCUGCUUUUCUAGGGAGGCUGUCUGUCCUCAGAAGUCCAGUGGAAGCAAGUCAGAACUCUGUCCUGCAAAAAAAUGCAGUAUGUGUUGACACAAAUGUAAUAUAAUCUCCUUAGCCCCUGGUAAAUUGUGGCAACUCAAGACACACUGAACAAGAUCUUGGUUAAAGGAAAACAUCUUUUAGAAAGAGAGCUUCUUGAUUUACUUUACUCGAGAAGCUCAGAGCAUUUCUCAGUUAGCUUGCUCUUCCUUUCAAAUCCCCAGGCUCGACCUGGGCCUGUUUUCCUAAGUAAGAAAUGUCUCUGCCCGGACUCCUGAGCAAAUAUAUGCCAGAGGAGUAUCAUUAACCGAGCUGAUACGGGAACUAAACAAACAGGGUGAAUCAGCUUGGAUUCACGAAGGCUGGCAGCAAGUCAAUUUCUUUCUCUAUUUCUCUACUUGUUUUUUCAGGGUACGUGAUGACUAGAGACUGGUAUGUCCUGAUAGCAGAAAACAGGAAGCAGAUCAAAGCGAGAGGCUGUUUGUCUCCUGACCUGCCCCUGGAUAACAAGAAGCAGUUUGUGUUGACUCGGACUUGCGUCCUAUAAGAUUUCACAACAUACAGAAUACUGAAUGCAGUGGGGAGACAAGCUUUAGUGCAGAACUGGACGCCAGAAAAGCAUAUAGUCUCCUGAAGUUUCUUCUACUCCUGUGAGUUUCCAUGAUGCCCAAGAGUUAAUUCCAGUGGCGUUUCUAGUGUGCUUCUGCCACCUGCUGCUUUCCGCAACCCAUUACAGUGAUCAGCCAAGAAAGAAAAACACUUGGCAAGGUGGUUAUUUCUCUGGAGAUGCGUUCUAGUAUAGGAGGAGGAUGAGAGGGAAACAUAUUUCAGAUCCAUGGAAGAUACACUGUGUGUAUGAGAGAGAGACAGAGAGACAGAGAUCUUUCUACUAGAUUACAUCACUAUUAAAAUUACAUUUUAUGACUCGGACUUGCAACCUGGCAAAGGAGAAGAGUGGAGACCUUGGUCUUAGUGCUGACGACAAUAAGCUCCUUAAGAAAGGUUUUAAAACAUGUUUUGAUACUUCCUCUCCUUCCCUGUUCGUUAAGCGUGUUCCCUCCGACUUAUGCCUAGAAAGCUCAGGGUGGCUUGUUAAAUGUUGUUUCUUUAAAUUAAAUCGCCUGCCGUGUUUCCAUGACUCUUUUUCUUUCUCCACAUUAUCAUUCCAGACAACAUUCCAUUUGUUCAGUGCCUCAAACUAUUUCUAUGGUCUGCUG